Molecule: ribosomal RNA, 253 nt
Filed under: uncultured bacterium
Lineage: Bacteria
Description: partial 16S ribosomal RNA
Rfam family: Bacterial small subunit ribosomal RNA
Source: RNAcentral
CACGUAGGGCGCAAGCGUUGUCCGGAAUUAUUGGGCGUAAAGAGCUCGUAGGUGGUUUGUUACGUCUGCUGUGAAAACCUAGGGCUUAACCCUGGGCUUGCAGUGGAUACGGGCAGACUAGAGGCAGGUAGGGGAGAAUGGAAUUCCCGGUGUAGCGGUGAAAUGCGCAGAUAUCGGGAGGAACACCGGUGGCGAAGGCGGUUCUCUGGGCCUGUACUGACGCUGAGGAGCGAAAGCGUGGGGAGCGAACAGG